GGGCGCGUAGCUCAGUUGGCAGAGCAUCUGACUUUUAAUCAGAGGGUCACAGGUUCGAUUCCUGUCGCGCCUACCA
RNAcentral lists this transfer RNA (76 nucleotides) under Rhodospirillaceae bacterium. RNAcentral describes it as "tRNA-Lys". It matches the Rfam family "tRNA". From Rfam's summary of the family: Transfer RNA (tRNA) molecules are approximately 80 nucleotides in length. Their secondary structure includes four short double-helical elements and three loops (D, anti-codon, and T loops). Further hydrogen bonds mediate the characteristic L-shaped molecular structure. tRNAs have two regions of fundamental functional importance: the anti-codon, which is responsible for specific mRNA codon recognition, and the 3' end, to which the tRNAs corresponding amino acid is attached (by aminoacyl-tRNA synthetases). tRNAs cope with the degeneracy of the genetic code in two manners: having more than one tRNA (with a specific anti-codon) for a particular amino acid; and 'wobble' base-pairing, i.e. permitting non-standard base-pairing at the 3rd anti-codon position. The record is from RNAcentral. RNAcentral also lists the same sequence under 3 other names. Lineage: Bacteria; Pseudomonadati; Pseudomonadota; Alphaproteobacteria; Rhodospirillales; Rhodospirillaceae.